Molecule: non-coding RNA, 112 nt
Organism: Acanthosepion pharaonis
Lineage: Eukaryota; Metazoa; Mollusca; Cephalopoda; Sepiida; Sepiidae
Source: the annotation of a GenBank genome assembly
UACGGCCAUAUCGCAUUGAAUCAUCGGUUCUCGUACGAUAACCGAAGUUAAGCAACGUCGAGCCGAAUUAGUACGUAGGGGAUAUGACUGGUUGGGAGUACCAGGUGCUGAA